Molecule: ribosomal RNA, 464 nt
Filed under: uncultured bacterium
Lineage: Bacteria
Description: bacterial SSU rRNA
Rfam family: Bacterial small subunit ribosomal RNA
Source: RNAcentral
CCAGACUCCUACGGGAGGCAGCAGUGAGGAAUAUUGGUCAAUGGGCGGGAGCCUGAACCAGCCAAGUCGCGUGAGGGAAGACGGUCCUAUGGAUUGUAAACCUCUUUUGUCGGGGAGCAAAGAGGCCACGUGUGGUCAAAAGCGAGAGUACCCGAAGAAAAAGCAUCGGCUAACUCCGUGCCAGCAGCCGCGGUAAUACGGAGGAUGCGAGCGUUAUCCGGAUUUAUUGGGUUUAAAGGGUGCGUAGGCGGGACGGUAAGGCGGCGGAAAAAAUGGGGAGCACAACGCCGGCGAGCCGUGGAAACUGCCGUUCUUGAGUGAGCGAGAAGUAUGCGGAAUGCGUGGUGUAGCGGUGAAAUGCAUAGAUAUCACGCAGAACUCCGAUUGCGAAGGCAGCAUACCGGCGCUCAACUGACGCUGAAGCACGAAGGCGUGGGUAUCGAACAGGAUUAGAUACCCUGGUA